Molecule: small nucleolar RNA, 204 nt
Organism: Strigops habroptila (Kakapo)
Lineage: Eukaryota; Metazoa; Chordata; Aves; Psittaciformes; Psittacidae
Gene: SNORA74
Rfam family: Small nucleolar RNA SNORA74
About the family: U19 belongs to the H/ACA class of snoRNAs. snoRNAs bind a number of proteins (including dyskerin, Gar1p and Nop10p in the case of the H/ACA class) to form snoRNP complexes. This class are thought to guide the sites of modification of uridines to pseudouridines by forming direct base pairing interactions with substrate RNAs.
Source: Ensembl
CCCAGCAGUAGUCAGCUACCCAUCGCUGCUCAGUGCCUGUGAUAGUGUUAUGCUGCUGGGAGAGGAAAGCGCUGCCGAGACAUUCCUGGCACUGCCGGUGCUGUUCUGGCACUGGCUGGUGCCAGGUUUUGGCAGCGCUCUGCAUGCUUGAGAGUGGAGUAACUCCUCCUCGGUGGAGUUAAUCCUAGAUUGGAUGCAGACAAU